GCCUGGGUGGCUCAGUCGAUUGAGCGUCCGACUUCGGCUCAGGUCAUGAUCUCACGGUUCGUGGGUUCGAGCCCCACGUCGGGCU
This 85-nucleotide transfer RNA is filed under the name Felis catus (domestic cat). It matches the Rfam family "tRNA". From Rfam's summary of the family: Transfer RNA (tRNA) molecules are approximately 80 nucleotides in length. Their secondary structure includes four short double-helical elements and three loops (D, anti-codon, and T loops). The record is from Rfam by way of RNAcentral. Lineage: Eukaryota; Metazoa; Chordata; Mammalia; Carnivora; Felidae.